AAUGUGAUUGCAGAUUCAGUGAAUCAUCGAGUCUUUGAACGCACAUUGCGCCCCCUGGUAUUCCGGGGGGCAUGCCUGUUCGAGCGUCAUUUCUGCACUCAAGCCCCGCUUGGGAGUGGGGGACGCGGUCCCCCGCGCGCCUCACAUCCACCGGCUGGGUCUUYCGUCCCCUCAGCGUUGUGGAAACUAUUCGCUAAAGGGUGCCCCGGGAGGCCACGCCGGAAAACAACCCCAUUUCUAAGGUUGACCUCUGAUCAGGUAGGGAUACCCGCUGAACUUAAACAUAUCAAUAAGCGGAGGAA
This 302-nucleotide ribosomal RNA is filed under the name Antheraea assamensis (Indian muga silkmoth). Its description in RNAcentral is "eukaryotic LSU rRNA". The stretch from base 1 to 89 matches the Rfam family "5.8S ribosomal RNA", at positions 64 to 154 of the family's 154-position model. Lineage: Eukaryota; Metazoa; Arthropoda; Insecta; Lepidoptera; Saturniidae. The record is from RNAcentral.